This 602-nucleotide long non-coding RNA is filed under the name Malus domestica (apple). RNAcentral's name for it is "long non-coding RNA (MDOM_LNC018759)". Lineage: Eukaryota; Viridiplantae; Streptophyta; Magnoliopsida; Rosales; Rosaceae. The record is from RNAcentral.
UUGGGUAACCAUGACAUGCUGCUAGGCGUCAACCAUGGUUUGUGGAAGCCCUAAACGUGUAUAAUCACUAAAGGGAGAAUUGAAAAUAGUUUCAAUUCACAAUCGAUGUAAAAUGGUUUUAAUCGCCCACUACCUCGCUAAAAGGAACCUAAUGGAUCGCACACCGAAAGAGGUGGAGAUUGGAGAUUAAACGGAAAUGAGUAAGAAUGAUUAAAUGGUUUAAUCAUUUAUUUAUGGCAAGGAUUAAUUAAUAUGUUAAUUAAUCAAACGAAUAAGUUCGUUAAAUGACCUCGGGAUAGUUUUGGACCUUAAGGCCCAAUGGGCUUCGAACGUCAAGCCCAUUAACUUAAGUUGGAUGACAAUUUAAUGAAUGAAGAUUCAUUAAAGCCCAAAAGCCCAAAAUCCCCUAAAUGGCCAGCCAUGAUGAAAUGAAUUAGGGUUUUGGUUGUUUAGGUCACUUAAAGAAGUGACUAUAUAAAUGAUUUUAUAACUAAAUAUUCAUUAAGUGAAAAAUGGGUUUAUUUUUGGGGGAAAAUUGGUGAGAAUUGUCUCUCCAUUUCUCUCUAAAGAGGCCAACACCUUGGAGGGUACAUCUAGCAAUC